UGAUGGCUGUUCCUCUCACUGCUUUUGAGCCUUAGGUAGUGGGAUUUUAGUCCAUCAUAUAUCAAAGCUGACUUGUCUUCACUCAGGGCACCAUGGGGAUGGGCUGGCCAUCCGUUAGUGUCUUCUGAUUUUUGCGGGAGUCAAACAAUU
Ailuropoda melanoleuca (giant panda) is the source of this 150-nucleotide small nucleolar RNA. Ensembl annotates it as small nucleolar RNA, H/ACA box 79B. NCBI's taxonomy places the organism in Eukaryota, Metazoa, Chordata, Mammalia, Carnivora, Ursidae. The record is from Ensembl.